This 655-nucleotide ribosomal RNA is filed under the name Escherichia coli. RNAcentral describes it as "partial 23S ribosomal RNA". It matches the Rfam family "Bacterial large subunit ribosomal RNA", at positions 2147 to 2801 of the family's 2925-position model. The record is from RNAcentral. Lineage: Bacteria; Pseudomonadati; Pseudomonadota; Gammaproteobacteria; Enterobacterales; Enterobacteriaceae.
GUGGGAGGCUUUGAAGUGUGGACGCCAGUCUGCAUGGAGCCGACCUUGAAAUACCACCCUUUAAUGUUUGAUGUUCUAACGUUGGCCCCUAAUCGGGGUUGCGGACAGUGUCUGGUGGGUAGUUUGACUGGGGCGGUCUCCUCCUAAAGAGUAACGGAGGAGCACGAAGGUUGGCUAAUCCUGGUCGGACAUCAGGAGGUUAGUGCAAUGGCAUAAGCCAGCUUGACUGCGAGCGUGACGGCGCGAGCAGGUGCGAAAGCAGGUCAUAGUGAUCCGGUGGUUCUGAAUGGAAGGGCCAUCGCUCAACGGAUAAAAGGUACUCCGGGGAUAACAGGCUGAUACCGCCCAAGAGUUCAUAUCGACGGCGGUGUUUGGCACCUCGAUGUCGGCUCAUCACAUCCUGGGGCUGAAGUAGGUCCCAAGGGUAUGGCUGUUCGCCAUUUAAAGUGGUACGCGAGCUGGGUUUAGAACGUCGUGAGACAGUUCGGUCCCUAUCUGCCGUGGGCGCUGGAGAACUGAGGGGGGCUGCUCCUAGUACGAGAGGACCGGAGUGGACGCAUCACUGGUGUUCGGGUUGUCAUGCCAAUGGCACUGCCCGGUAGCUAAAUGCGGAAGAGAUAAGUGCUGAAAGCAUCUAAGCACGAAACUUGCCCCG